This 345-nucleotide RNase P RNA is filed under the name uncultured Dorea sp. RNAcentral's name for it is "Bacterial RNase P class A". It matches the Rfam family "Bacterial RNase P class A". From Rfam's summary of the family: Ribonuclease P (RNase P) is a ubiquitous endoribonuclease, found in archaea, bacteria and eukarya as well as chloroplasts and mitochondria. Its best characterised activity is the generation of mature 5'-ends of tRNAs by cleaving the 5'-leader elements of precursor-tRNAs. Cellular RNase Ps are ribonucleoproteins. The record is from RNAcentral. Lineage: Bacteria; Bacillati; Bacillota; Clostridia; Lachnospirales; Lachnospiraceae.
UAAGACAGGUAAUCGCGGCUGCAAAAGCUGAAAAGCUGCAGACGAGGAAAGUCCGGGCUUCACAGGGCAGGAUGCCGGAUAACGUCCGGUGGAGGUGACUCCAAGGAAAGUGCAACAGAAAUGUACCGCCUGAAUUCUAUUCAGGUAAGGGUGGAAGGGCAGUGUAAGAGACUACCGCCCUGCUGGUAACAGCAGGGGCAUAUGUAAACCCCAUUCGAAGCAAGACCGGAUAAAGACAAUGUGGCGGCCCGUCACGUCUUAGGUAGGUCGCUUGAAUCCAUCGGCAACGAUGGAUCUAGAUAGAUGAUUACUCAACGACAUAACCCGGCUUAUCGUUUUGCUUGU